UACGGGGGGGCAAGCGUUGUUCGGAAUUACUGGGCGUAAAGGGCUCGUAGGUGGCCAACUAAGUCAGACGUGAAAUCCCUCGGCUUAACCGGGGAACUGCGUCUGAUACUGGAUGGCUUGAGGUUGGGAGAGGGAUGCGGAAUUCCAGGUGUAGCGGUGAAAUGCGUAGAUAUCUGGAGGAACACCGGUGGCGAAGGCGGCAUCCUGGACCAAUUCUGACGCUGAGGAGCGAAAGCCAGGGGAGCAAACGGG
This 252-nucleotide ribosomal RNA is filed under the name uncultured bacterium. RNAcentral's name for it is "partial 16S ribosomal RNA". It matches the Rfam family "Bacterial small subunit ribosomal RNA", at positions 524 to 776 of the family's 1533-position model. The record is from RNAcentral.